Molecule: ribosomal RNA, 1374 nt
Filed under: uncultured bacterium
Lineage: Bacteria
Description: bacterial SSU rRNA
Rfam family: Bacterial small subunit ribosomal RNA
Source: RNAcentral
GAUGAGCGCUGGCGGCGUGCCUAAUACAUGCAAGUCGAGCGAACGGACGAGAAGCUUGCUUCUCUGAUGUUAGCGGCGGACGGGUGAGUAACACGUGGAUAACCUACCUAUAAGACUGGGAUAACUUCGGGAAACCGGAGCUAAUACCGGAUAAUAUUUUGAACCGCAUGGUUCAAAANGUGAAAGAACGGUCUUGCUGUCACUUAUAGAUGGAUCCGCGCUGCAUUAGCUAGUUGGUAAGGUAACGGCUUACCAAGGCAACGAUGCAUAGCCGACCUGAGAGGGUGAUCGGCCACACUGGAACUGAGACACGGUCCAGACUCCUACGGGAGGCAGCAGUAGGGAAUCUUCCGCAAUGGGCGAAAGCCUGACGGAGCAACGCCGCGUGAGUGAUGAAGGUCUUCGGAUCGUAAAACUCUGUUAUUAGGGAAGAACAUAUGUGUAAGUAACUGUGCACAUCUUGACGGUACCUAAUCAGAAAGCCACGGCUAACUACGUGCCAGCAGCCGCGGUAAUACGUAGGUGGCAAGCGUUAUCCGGAAUUAUUGGGCGUAAAGCGCGCGUAGGCGGUUUUUUAAGUCUGAUGUGAAAGCCCACGGCUCAACCGUGGAGGGUCAUUGGAAACUGGAAAACUUGAGUGCAGAAGAGGAAAGUGGAAUUCCAUGUGUAGCGGUGAAAUGCGCAGAGAUAUGGAGGAACACCAGUGGCGAAGGCGACUUUCUGGUCUGUAACUGACGCUGAUGUGCGAAAGCGUGGGGAUCAAACAGGAUUAGAUACCCUGGUAGUCCACGCCGUAAACGAUGAGUGCUAAGUGUUAGGGGGUUUCCGCCCCUUAGUGCUGCAGCUAACGCAUUAAGCACUCCGCCUGGGGAGUACGACCGCAAGGUUGAAACUCAAAGGAAUUGACGGGGACCCGCACAAGCGGUGGAGCAUGUGGUUUAAUUCGAAGCAACGCGAAGAACCUUACCAAAUCUUGACAUCCUUUGACAACUCUAGAGAUAGAGCCUUCCCCUUCGGGGGGCAAAGUGACAGGUGGUGCAUGGUUGUCGUCAGCUCGUGUCGUGAGAUGUUGGGUUAAGUCCCGCAACGAGCGCAACCCUUAAGCUUAGUUGCCAUCAUUAAGUUGGGCACUCUAAGUUGACUGCCGGUGACAAACCGGAGGAAGGUGGGGAUGACGUCAAAUCAUCAUGCCCCUUAUGAUUUGGGCUACACACGUGCUACAAUGGACAAUACAAAGGGCAGCGAAACCGCGAGGUCAAGCAAAUCCCAUAAAGUUGUUCUCAGUUCGGAUUGUAGUCUGCAACACGACUACAUGAAGCUGGAAUCGCUAGUAAUCGUAGAUCAGCAUGCUACGGUGAAUACGUUCCCGGGUCU